RNAcentral lists this ribosomal RNA (330 nucleotides) under uncultured Streptococcus sp. RNAcentral describes it as "bacterial SSU rRNA". It matches the Rfam family "Bacterial small subunit ribosomal RNA", at positions 1051 to 1382 of the family's 1533-position model. Lineage: Bacteria; Bacillati; Bacillota; Bacilli; Lactobacillales; Streptococcaceae. The record is from RNAcentral.
GUCGUCAGCUCGUGUCGUGAGAUGUUGGGUUAAGUCCCGCAACGAGCGCAACCCCUAUUGUUAGUUGCCAUCAUUCAGUUUGGGCACUCUAGCGAGACUGCCGGUAAUAAACCGGAGGAAGGUGGGAUGACGUCAAAUCAUCAUGCCCCUUAUGACCUGGGCUACACACGUGCUACAAUGGUUGGUACAACGAGUUGCGAGUCGGUGACGGCGAGCUAAUCUCUUAAAGCCAAUCUCAGUUCGGAUUGUAGGCUGCAACUCGCCUACAUGAAGUCGGAAUCGCUAGUAAUCGCGGAUCAGCACGCCGCGGUGAAUACGUUCCCGGGCCUU